GAAGUGAUGAAGGACGUGGCUACCGGCGAAACGUUUCGGGGAGUUGGAAGUAAGCUUUGAUCCGAAAGUAUCCGAAUGAGGAAACUCUUAAACUUCUUACUGAAUCUAUAAGUAAAGAAAGAGCAAACCUAGGGAAUUGAAACAUCUUAGUACCUAGAGGAAAAGAAAGUAAAAACGAUUCCCUUAGUAGUGGCGAACGAAAUGGGAAGAGCCUAAACUUUUAGAAAUUAUUUUUAAAAGGGUUGUGGGAUAGAAAAAUCUGAUACCGUAAGGUGAAAAGAUAAAAAAGAAAGAAUGCGAAUUUUUUCUUUUCGAAAUUAGGUGAAAUAAUUGGGAAAUUAUACCGAAGAAAGUGAAAGUCUUGUAACCAAAAAUUUCAAUAAAAAAUUCUAUUCCCGAGUAGCAUGGGGCACGUGGAAUCCCGUGUGAAUCUGCGAGGACCACCUCGUAAGGCUAAAUAUUCCUGGAUGUCCGAUAGCGAAUAGUACCGCGAGGGAAAGGUGAAAAGAACCCCGGGAGGGGAGUGAAAUAGAACGUGAAAUUGCAAGCCCACAAACAGAAGGAGAACGACUUAGCGUUUAACUUCGUGCCUGUUGAAGAAUGUUCCGGCGACUUAUAGUUAGUGGCGGGUUAAAAUAGAGAUAUUGGAGCCAUAGUGAAAGCGAGCUUGAAUAGAGCGUUUGUCACUAGUUAUAGACCCGAACCCGGUUGAUCUAACCAUGGCCAGAAUGAAACUUGGGUAACACUAAGUGGAGGUUCGAACCGACUGAUGUUGAAAAAUCAGCGGAUGAGCUGUGGUUAGGGGUGAAAUGCCAAUCGAAACCGGAGCUAGCUGGUUCUCCCCGAAAUGUAUUUAGGUGCAGCGGUUAAUAUUAUAGCGUAGGGGUAAAGCACUGUUUCGGUGCGGGCUGGUAAUUCGGUACCAAAUCGAGGCAAACUCUGAAUACUACGUGUACAGUUGACCAGUAAGACUAUGGGGGAUAAGCUUCAUAGUCAAGAGGGAAACAGCCCAGAUCACCAGCUAAGGCCCCUAAAUAAUUACUAAGUGAUAAAGGAAGUGGAAAGGCUUAGACAACCAGGAGGUUUGCUUAGAAGCAGCAAUCCUUUAAAAAGUGCGUAAUAGCUUACUGGUCUAGCAAUUCUGCGCCGAAAACUUACGGGACUAAGUAAUUUGCCGAAGCUGUGAGAUAGUUUAUAAAAGAUCCUAGCUUGUGUUAGGACUGACUAUCGGUAGGGGAGCGUUCUGUUGUAGGUUGAAGUGUUAGCGAAAGCGGGCAUGGACGAAACAGAAGUGAGAAUGUCGGAUUGAGUAGCGAAAACAUUGGUGAGAAUCCAAUGCUCCGAAAACCUAAGGUUUCCUCCGCAAGGCUCGUCCACGGAGGGUGAGUCAGGUCCUAAGGUGAGGCUGAAAAGCGUAGUUGAUGGAUAAUAGGUUAAUAUUCCUAUACUGAUUAUUACUGGUAUCGAGGGACGAAGAAGGCUAAACUAGCCAGAGAUUGGUUACUGGUUUAAGGAUUCAAGGUGUUGAAGAUUAGAGAAAAUAAUCUGAGCUGAGAUCUGAAUGCAAGAUUUAAAAAAUCAAAGUAGUUGAUGUCAUACUUCCAAGAAAAGCUCGCUAUGCCUUAAGUAAUAAUUACCUGUACCUUAAACCGACACAGGUAGGUAGGUAGAGAAUACCAAGGAGCGCGGGAGAACCCUCCUUAAGGAACUCGGCAAAAUAGCUCUGUAACUUCGGAAGAAAGAGUGCCUUUUAGGCUGCAAUAUCAAGUUCCAAGCAACUGUUUAGCAAAAACACAGGUCUCCGCUAAGUUGUAAAACGACGUAUGGGGGCUGACGCCUGCCCAGUGCCGGAAGGUUAAAGAAGUCGGUUAGCGUAAGCAAAGCUGGUAACUGAAGCCCCGGUGAACGGCGGCCGUAACUAUAACGGUCCUAAGGUAGCGAAAUUCCUUGUCAGGUAAGUUCUGACCCGCACGAAUGGCGUAAUGAUUUGGAAGCUGUCUCGAGGAGGGACUCGGUGAAAUAGAACUGUCUGUGAAGAUGCGGACUACCUGCGCCUGGACAGUAAGACCCUAUGAAGCUUUACUGUAUCCUGAAAUUGGAUUUCGAUUUUCUUUGCGCAGAAUAGGUGGGAGACUUUGAGAUUAGUCUUUCGGGACUGAAGGAGUCAUUAGUGAGAUACCACUCUUAGAAAAUUAAAAUUCUAACUUCAUACCGUAAGCCGGUUGAAAGACAGUUUCAGGUGGGCAGUUUGACUGGGGCGGUCGCCUCCCAAAAGGUAACGGAGGCGUACAAAGGUUUCCUCAGAUCGGUCAGAAAUCGAUCUUAGAGUGCAAAGGCAAAAGGAAGCUUAACUGUGAGACAAACAAGUCGAGCAGAGACGAAAGUCGGUCUUAGUGAUCUGACGAUGCUGUGUGGAAAGGUCGUCACUCAACGGAUAAAAGUUACUCUAGGGAUAACAGGCUGAUCUCCCCCAAGAGUUCUUAUCGACGGGGAGGUUUGGCACCUCGAUGUCGGCUCAUCGCAUCCUGGGGCGGAAGUACGUCCCAAGGGUUGGGCUGUUCGCCCAUUAAAGCGGUACGUGAGCUGGGUUCAGAACGUCGCGAGACAGUUCGGUCCAUAUCCGGCGUAGGCGUUGGAGUAUUGAGAGUGACCUUUCUCUAGUACGAGAGGACCGAGAAAGACAUACCUCUAGUGUACCAGUUAUCGUGCCAACGGUACACGCUGGGUAGCUAUGUAUGGUUAGGAUAACCGCUGAAAGCAUCU
Molecule: ribosomal RNA, 2763 nt
Filed under: Synura petersenii
Lineage: Eukaryota; Synurophyceae; Synurales; Mallomonadaceae
Description: bacterial LSU rRNA
Rfam family: Bacterial large subunit ribosomal RNA
Source: RNAcentral